RNAcentral lists this ribosomal RNA (490 nucleotides) under uncultured bacterium. RNAcentral describes it as "partial 16S ribosomal RNA". It matches the Rfam family "Bacterial small subunit ribosomal RNA", at positions 30 to 507 of the family's 1533-position model. The record is from RNAcentral.
AUUGAACGCUGGCGGCAGGCCUAACACAUGCAAGUCGAACGGUAACAGGAAGAAGCUUGCUUCUUUGCUGACGAGUGGCGGACGGGUGAGUAAUGUCUGGGAAACUGCCUGAUGGAGGGGGAUAACUACUGGAAACGGUAGCUAAUACCGCAUAACGUCGCAAGACCAAAGAGGGGGACCUUCGGGCCUCUUUCCAUCGGAUGUGCCCAGAUGGGAUUAGCUAGUAGGUGGGGUACCGGCUCACCUAGGCGACGAUCCCUAUCUGGUCUGAGAGGAUGACCAGCCACACUGGAACUGAGACACGGCCCAGACUCCUACGGGAGGCAGCAGUGGGGAAUAUUGCACAAUGGGCGCAAGCCUGAUGCAGCCAUGCCGCGUGUAUGAAGAAGGCCUUCGGGUUGUAAAGUACUUUCAGCGGGGAGGAAGGGAGUAAAGUUAAUACCUUUACUCAUUGACGUUACCCGCAGAAGAAGCACCGGCUAACUCCGUG